RNAcentral lists this transfer RNA (66 nucleotides) under Phoenicibacter congonensis. It matches the Rfam family "tRNA", at positions 5 to 66 of the family's 71-position model. Rfam says of the family: Transfer RNA (tRNA) molecules are approximately 80 nucleotides in length. Their secondary structure includes four short double-helical elements and three loops (D, anti-codon, and T loops). Further hydrogen bonds mediate the characteristic L-shaped molecular structure. tRNAs have two regions of fundamental functional importance: the anti-codon, which is responsible for specific mRNA codon recognition, and the 3' end, to which the tRNAs corresponding amino acid is attached (by aminoacyl-tRNA synthetases). tRNAs cope with the degeneracy of the genetic code in two manners: having more than one tRNA (with a specific anti-codon) for a particular amino acid; and 'wobble' base-pairing, i.e. permitting non-standard base-pairing at the 3rd anti-codon position. The record is from RNAcentral. Lineage: Bacteria; Bacillati; Actinomycetota; Coriobacteriia; Eggerthellales; Eggerthellaceae.
GAGUGGCGCAGCGGGAGCGCAGUUGCCUUACAAGCAAACGGUCGGGGGUUCAAAUCCCUCCUCGAC